AUACGGAGGGGGUUAGCGUUGUUCGGAAUUACUGGGCGUAAAGCGUACGUAGGCGGACUGGAAAGUUGGGGGUGAAAUCCCGGGGCUCAACCCCGGAACUACCUCCAAAACUUCCAAUCUAGAGAUCGAGAGAGGUGAGUGGAAUUCCAAGUGUAGAGGUGAAAUUCGUAGAUAUUUGGAGGAACACCAGUGGCGAAGGCGGCUCACUGGCUCGAUACUGACGCUGAGGUACAAAAGCGUGGGGAGCAAACAGGAUUAGAAACCCUUGUAGUCC
This 274-nucleotide ribosomal RNA is filed under the name uncultured bacterium. Its description in RNAcentral is "partial 16S ribosomal RNA". It matches the Rfam family "Bacterial small subunit ribosomal RNA", at positions 523 to 796 of the family's 1533-position model. The record is from RNAcentral.